GUCAGGAUGGCUGAGUGGUCCAAGGCGCUGCAUUCAGGUUGUAGCCUCUCCUGGAGGUGUGGGUUCAAAUCCCACUUCUGACA
Molecule: non-coding RNA, 83 nt
Organism: Nanorana parkeri
Lineage: Eukaryota; Metazoa; Chordata; Amphibia; Anura; Dicroglossidae
Source: the annotation of a RefSeq genome assembly